GAUUAAAUGGCUGAAGAUUAGGCGAUAGAUUGUAAAUCUAUUUAUAAGAAUAAAUUCUUUUUAAUCA
This 67-nucleotide transfer RNA is filed under the name Anastrepha suspensa (Caribbean fruit fly). RNAcentral's name for it is "tRNA-Tyr". It matches the Rfam family "tRNA". From Rfam's summary of the family: Transfer RNA (tRNA) molecules are approximately 80 nucleotides in length. Their secondary structure includes four short double-helical elements and three loops (D, anti-codon, and T loops). The record is from RNAcentral. Lineage: Eukaryota; Metazoa; Arthropoda; Insecta; Diptera; Tephritidae. RNAcentral also lists the same sequence under 5 other names.